RNAcentral lists this long non-coding RNA (1908 nucleotides) under Triticum aestivum (bread wheat). Its description in RNAcentral is "long non-coding RNA (TAES_LNC007923)". Lineage: Eukaryota; Viridiplantae; Streptophyta; Magnoliopsida; Poales; Poaceae. The record is from RNAcentral.
GGCUAGCCCCUUUAGCCCACUGGAACCCCACUUUACCCUAUUAGCCCAUCCCGAUAGCUUGGUGCAGGGAGGACGACGCCGUCGCCGAUCGAUGGCAGCCGCCGCUGCACGGCGCACCUAGCCCCUCCCCUACCUCGCAGCUUCUCCCUGCUCCGCCCCUCCCCUACCUCACAGCUUCUCCCUACCCCACCCCUCCCCUACCUCCCGGCGAUGGGCAGGUCGCCGGCAGCACCAACCCCGACCCCCAGGUCGCCGGCAUGAUCAAUCACGACCCCCGGGUCGCCGGCUGUCCCAACCCCGACAGCCAAGGCGCCGGAUGCGUCAAUCCCGGAGCCCAAGGUGCCGGAUGCAUCGUCGGCAGCAGCUGAUGCAUCAAUUCAAGAUAGUCCCUCAGAUUCAAGGAAAAAUAUUGUCGUCGUUGGCAGGGAAAAAUAUGCUUUUUUUUCAUCUUCUUCUCUGAAAGCCCGUUUUUAGGUAUGUAGGUAGGUGCGAUUGGUUAGAUUUGGGGAUUGGAUUUCAGAAGAUGGGGACCUGGAUUGCUACUGCUAAUUGGCUGUUCAUCAUCUAUUGUUUAUUUAAGAAAAUAGGACCUGGAUGGGUACCAUUUACAUAACUACGCCGAACACUAAACAUUGGGCCAUCUUGCUGUUACAUACAGCGUAUUUCAGUGAUUUGUAGUGAUCUGCCACUUAGUUUCUUUCUUAUUCUAUUGUACCUUUUAUUAAUGUCUGAACUUAACUCAUCAUAUUUAACUCGGUUGUGAAAAUUUUCAGAUCUUGAGGAGCACAAGGGUGAGCUCUUGCGUGCCAUAAAAAUCGAGAAGGCUACUGGCCCGGAUCUUGAGGAGCACAAGGGUGCUAGUGAGCUCCAUGUGGAACCACCAAAGUGCAAGAAAAGUAAGCGAAGUAGGCAGAGUAGCGGCGAGCUUCAUGCGGAACACCAAGAAACGAACAAAGUCUUUAUUUAUGCAUAACUGCCCACUUUAUUGAUGGCUCAUGGACUCUACAAAACAGAAUAAUCAGAUUUUGCCUCUUGGAAACUCUGCACAACGCUCAUAACAUGUUUGACAUGGUGCAAGAUAGCUUGAGAGAUUGGAAAAUUGAAGACAAAAUCUUUAGCUUUACCCUAGACAAUGCACCAGUUAAUACCUUGAUGGUUGGCCACUUGAGAAUUUUUUUGGCAGAUAGGUAUCUUCUUGGAAUCCUGCCUUUUUUGCCGUCAAAUGCUUGUGAUCUCUUGAGCUUGCUGUACUACUUGUUAUAGUAACCCACAUUUCGUGCUUCCAUUGAUGCCAUCCAUUGUAGUUUCUUGCUGUACUUAUGUAUUUGCUCUGUUAAUUCAGAAUUCAGAUAGGAUUCAGAUAGGCUUCAGUUAUGAAUUCAGAAUUCAGAUAGUUUUUUUGGCAGGCAGAAGGUGGAGCCUGAGGACAAGGAGGAGACCCGGGGGGCGAAGCCAGAAGCGGCACCGGCGGCAGCUGAGACUCAGUGAAGGCUUGUCCUGAGCUCGUGAUCGUCUUCCAUGAACCAACCUGAAGCUUCAUUCACUGAGAGUUGCGAGGUCUUAUCAGCUUAGAGUUUUUAUUUUCUCUUUGUCCUUGUGAGUUCACUGAGAUUUUUAAUGGGACUACCACUGAGAGUUGUGAGCUUCAUUCACUGAGAGUCGCUAUAAGUUGAAAAUAAGCUUGUAUCUGUGGCGGCCGCUUCCACAAAGUUCUAUUAAUAUGUUGAUGCACUAUUACCUUAUUCAAAUUCCAAUCAAGAUUUGCUUGUCCAGUUUAUAUGUUAAGUGGGAUCCCACUUAUUCCCACCUAAUAUGUGCUAGUUUUGAUGGGACUACCACUUCUUUUCCACCAAGCCAUGUUGGGACUAGGUGGAUCAAGGUGGGAUUCCCAGGAACCGUCCCACUUGC